Molecule: ribosomal RNA, 497 nt
Filed under: uncultured bacterium
Lineage: Bacteria
Description: partial 16S ribosomal RNA
Rfam family: Bacterial small subunit ribosomal RNA
Source: RNAcentral
GACGAACGCUGGCGGCGUGCCUAAUACAUGCAAGUAGAACGCUGAAGAGAGGAGCUUACUCUUCUUGGAUGAGUUGCGAACGGGUGAGUAACGCGUAGGUAACCUGCCUUGUAGCGGGGGAUAACUAUUGGAAACGAUAGCUAAUACCGCAUAACAAUGGAUGACACAUGUCAUUUAUUUGAAAGGGGCAAUUGCUCCACUACAAGAUGGACCUGCGUUGUAUUAGCUAGUAGGUGAGGUAAUGGCUCACCUAGGCGACGAUACAUAGCCGACCUGAGAGGGUGAUCGGCCACACUGGGACUGAGACACGGCCCAGACUCCUACGGGAGGCAGCAGUAGGGAAUCUUCGGCAAUGGGGGCAACCCUGACCGAGCAACGCCGCGUGAGUGAAGAAGGGUUUCGGAUCGUAAAGCUCUGUUGUAAGUCAAGAACGGGUGUGAGAGUGGAAAGUUCACACUGUGACGGUAGCUUACCAGAAAGGGACGGCUAACUACGUG